GCGAUAUUAGCCAUAGCUCACGCGAUAUUGGCCAUAGCUCAUACGAUAUAAGCCCUUUUUCGCUUCCGAGUUCCCUCAUCCGGCUGUCCCGAGAGGAACCCUAGAUCUGGAGAAGAGCAGACCCUGUCCGGUUGUCUCUUCUUCCCGGAUCGAUCUCCCCCUUCUGCACGCCCGCGAGUCUCUUCGGCGUCCGGCGACUUUGGCGUGCUUCGUCCCUUCUCCGGUUCUCCCAAGGUAUGUCCCUCCUCCGAAACCCUAGGUCUGCAACUUGCCCUAGGUCCCUUCUUCGAUUCUUCCUCUCAUUCAUUCUCCAUUUCGAAGGGCUGCGGCGGUGCUGCGGAGGAACCCUAGAUCUGGAGAAGACCAUGUUUGGGGAUCGAUCUCCCCCUUCUGCGCGGUAUAGGAAGACCAUCACGCUCGAGGUUGAGAGUAGCGACACCAUCGACAACGUCAAAUCCAAGUUCCAGGAUUUUUGCCUUCUCGUUUUCAGCUUGCUCACUCUAAAAUAAUGCCAAAACAAGUUUCUUUCUGAGAAGCCUCACAGAUAAUUGUUACUCACCUUUCUCUAAGAUACACUCAAAUAUUGAAGAAAAACUAAUGCCUUGCGUUCUGAAACAUUUCUUUGAGAUUUAAAAGAGCACAUGCUCAAAGUGUCUAUAGAUCAUAUUUUAAUAGAUAAGGAGCAAAUGACCUAGACAGGGCUAAAGAAAUUCUAGCAGAGAGAGAAAGAAAGAACUGGCACAGUAGCCGCAAGCUCUAGCUUUUUGCCAUCCAACUUCCGUUUUGAAGCAUAAGUAGAAAAAUAAGCAUCAAGUUUAACGCAAAAAUAUAAAACAGGGCUCCAGAUUUAGGAGGGAGAGAGCAAGAGCCCG
RNAcentral lists this long non-coding RNA (872 nucleotides) under Phoenix dactylifera (date palm). RNAcentral describes it as "long non-coding RNA (PDAC_LNC016257)". Lineage: Eukaryota; Viridiplantae; Streptophyta; Magnoliopsida; Arecales; Arecaceae. The record is from RNAcentral.